RNA transcript from Patella vulgata (common limpet), 1162 nucleotides. RefSeq lists it as uncharacterized. The transcript has 3 exons. NCBI's taxonomy places the organism in Eukaryota, Metazoa, Mollusca, Gastropoda, Patellidae. The record is from RefSeq and is a predicted model, not a curated record.
GUUUAGCAGUAUACAGUAUCCAUGGGGCUGGUUUUUAUUUGGAGGUCGACAGUUCAUAACAACGGGAGGGCUACAUGAACCAAAUUUAUUCGACACUGGAACUCAAAAUAAAUAUAUAAGACUAGUGCUACUUGGAAAGACAGGCGCAGGCAAAAGUUCACUGGGAAACAUUUUGCUUGGGAGAAAAGUGUUUAAAUCCACUCCUCUACAAACCUCUAAUGCAUUGAAACUUGAAUGUCGUCAUGGAUCGACCCAACUUACAGAUGGAACCAACCUAAUUGUUGUUGACACACCAGGAAUUGUGGACACUACAACUUCGACCACGGAAACAUUUGAAGAACUUACACGAUGCAUAGAGCUUUCAAACCCAGGUCCGCACGUGUUCCUACUUGUCCUGAAGAUUGAUAGAUUUACACAGGAAGAGAUGAACAUAAUCAAACAUCUGAAAUAUUGGUUUGGGCAGGAUUUCAUGAAGUACGCAGUAUUUAUUUUCACCGGUAAAGAUUCACUGGAUUAUGAUGGUUCAACGAUUGACCAGCAUCUUGAGGGCAGUCCAUCUGAACUGAAAGAUCUUCUCGGAGAUGCAGGCGGACGGGUUGCAGCAAUUAACAACCGAGUUCCCGGACCAGAACUUAAAGCUAUAAUGAAGUUGGUCAAACAAACCAUACAGGUUAACAAUGGUCAAUAUUACACCAAACAUAGGUACCUGCAGGCUGUGAAGGAGAGGGAGGGGCAGCCAAGUCUGGUGGAGGAUGAAGAGUUUGACCAUGUGAAGGAUUUGCGAUUACGGGAGCGAGCGAAAAAGUACAAAAGACGCGGUGUUGAACCGAGAUCAGAUAAAGUAAAUUUGUUUCUUUGUUGCGCUGGGUGUGUUUUUUUGACAGCAGGGUGUUGCUAUUACUAUUUUUAAUAAAUGCAGUAAAUGGAUAGUAAGAUAAUUUGGCUGCCUAGGAUGUGUGUGUUGGGGAGUAGGAUGUUUAUUAAAAGCUAUUUUUAUUGUUUUUGUUCGAUGCUGUAAAUGGGUAGUGUUUUCCACUUGAUGAUCGGGACUCGUAUUGUUCUGCUGUGAAAGUUAGAAAUACCGGAAAUGACACAACAAAAUGACACGUGCCGAUAAUAUGAGAAAGUUUGUAUUUUAAAUAUUAAAUAUUUAUUUCUCUUU